This 809-nucleotide long non-coding RNA is filed under the name Homo sapiens (human). RNAcentral describes it as "non-protein coding lnc-DDX1-4:1". Lineage: Eukaryota; Metazoa; Chordata; Mammalia; Primates; Hominidae. The record is from RNAcentral.
UAGUGAUGUUGAGGUUUUUUUCAUAUGUUCAGUAAUUUUUUGAAAUCAAGGAAUGGCCAUGUGAUGCAAUUCUGGCAGAUGAGAAUUAUAGGAGCUCUCCCAGAGGCUCCCAGGGAAGAUUUUUCUGAAAGAUCCUUUGAGUCUUUUGCUUGCAGCUAAGAAAAAUAAAAAAUGCUUCCCCUCAGGAUUGACCAAGUCACAGAGAUAGUAAAUGAUUCAAUUGCAGAGUGUACCUUUCUUACGCAGGCCAACAGAUGCGGUGCUCACAUACCAGUACCUCAUAAUCUGGGCCAUUCUCCACCUGCCCUAAUCACCCCAAGACCAGUACCAGGCAACUAGGGACAGCCGCUAUGUCCCAGAGUCCACUAAAACCAUCCAAACUUGCCCAUUCUAAGCCUGCUUACCCUGUCUUGCCCAUUCCUUCCUGAGAAAUCCAGAAUAGAGGCUCCUGCUGGCAUUCUCCCCUUGCUUCCUCUGCCUCCCAAUGGACCUUGGUUCCCCGUGUGGCCCUGAAUGUGCCCCCUUUUUUGGGAACUGUGAGUAACAAACUGUCAUUUCAAUGGCAAUCAUCUUCUGUUCCAUAGUCUUCCCUUGUAUUAGUCUUUUUCCACACUACUGACAAAGACAUACCGAAGAUUGGGAGGAAAAAGAGGCUUAAUUGGACUUAUAGUUCCACAUGUCUGGGGAGGCCUCAGAAUCAUGGCGGGAGGCAAAAGGGACUUCCUACAUGGUGGCAGCAAGAGAAAAUGAGGGAGAAGCAAAAGCAGAAACCCCUGAUAAACCCAUCAGAUCUUGUGAGACUUAUUCAC